This 253-nucleotide ribosomal RNA is filed under the name uncultured bacterium. RNAcentral describes it as "partial 16S ribosomal RNA". It matches the Rfam family "Bacterial small subunit ribosomal RNA", at positions 524 to 776 of the family's 1533-position model. The record is from RNAcentral.
UACGUAGGGUGCAAGCGUUAUCCGGAAUCACUGGGCGUAAAGCGUGCGUAGGUGGCGUGUUAAGUGUGAUGUUAAAUCGUGUGGCUCAACCAUAUCGAUGUGUCGCAUACUGGCAUGCUAGAGGACGGCAGAGGCAAGUGGAAUUGGUAGUGUAGCAGUGAAAUGCGUAGAUAUUACCAGGAACACCAAUGGCGAAGGCAGCUUGCUGGGCCACUCCUGACACUGAGGUACGAAAGCGUGGGGAGCGAACAGG